RNAcentral lists this ribosomal RNA (256 nucleotides) under uncultured bacterium. RNAcentral's name for it is "partial 16S ribosomal RNA". It matches the Rfam family "Bacterial small subunit ribosomal RNA", at positions 524 to 776 of the family's 1533-position model. The record is from RNAcentral.
GACGUAGGUGGCGAACGUUAUCCGGAAUCAUUGGGCGUAAAGGGUGCGUAGAUGGCAUGAUAAGUUAUUAGUGGGAAAUCGAGGCUCAACCUCGUGGAAGCUAGUAAUACUGUUUUGCUUGAGUACAGAAGAGGUUAACGGAACUCCAUGUGGAGCGGUAAAAUGCGUAGAUAUAUGGAAGAACACCAAUAACGGCGAAGGCAGUUAACUAUUCUGUUACUGACAUUGAGGCACGAAAGCUAGGGGAGCAAACAGG